This 207-nucleotide long non-coding RNA is filed under the name Capsicum annuum. RNAcentral describes it as "long non-coding RNA (CANN_LNC005043)". Lineage: Eukaryota; Viridiplantae; Streptophyta; Magnoliopsida; Solanales; Solanaceae. The record is from RNAcentral.
GUGCUUCAGACUCUUGAUCGUCCAUUUCAAGGGUCAUCCAGACCAAUUGUAGCAUUGGCAUAGAUUGUAGAUUUUGGUAAUCUCUAUUUAUAUACCCAGCUAGCACCUUAUAAGCUUAUUUGUAUGCUUCUUAUUUUGGAUUUUUAGUGGAUCAGCUUCUGCUCUUCGAGGUUACUAUGAUGGAAUUGCUCGGAUAGGACUCGGGUG